AAUCAACGCUGGCGGCGUGCCUCAGACAUGCAAGUCGAACGCGAAAGUCCCCUUCGGGGGACAAGUAGAGUGGCGCACGGGUGAGUAACACGUAGGUAAUCUACCUUUGGAUGGGGAAUAACAACCGGAAACGGUUGCUAAUACCGCAUAAUGCAGCGGCACCUAAUGGUGACAGUUGUUAAAGCGGGGGAUCGAAAGACCUCGCGUCUGAAGAGGAGCCUGCGGCGGAUUAGCUAGNGGUAAGGUAAUGGCUUACCAAGGCUACGAUCCGUAACCGGCCUGAGAGGGCGGUCGGUCACACUGACACUGACAUACGGGUCAGACUCCUACGGGAGGCAGCAGUCGGGAAUUUUGGGCAAUGGGCGAAAGCCUGACCCAGCAACG
This 384-nucleotide ribosomal RNA is filed under the name uncultured bacterium. Its description in RNAcentral is "bacterial SSU rRNA". It matches the Rfam family "Bacterial small subunit ribosomal RNA", at positions 32 to 396 of the family's 1533-position model. The record is from RNAcentral.